CGUGUAGGCGGCCCGGUAAGUCUGCUGUGAAAACCCGGGGCUCAACCCCGGGCGUGCAGUGGAAACUGCCGGGCUAGAGGGCGGCAGAGGCGAGUGGAACUCCCGGUGUAGCGGUGAAAUGCGCAGAUAUCGGGAGGAACACCAGUGGCGAAGGCGACUUUCUGGUCUGUAACUGACGCUGAUGUGCGAAAGCGUGGGGAUCAAACA
This 207-nucleotide ribosomal RNA is filed under the name uncultured bacterium. RNAcentral describes it as "partial 16S ribosomal RNA". It matches the Rfam family "Bacterial small subunit ribosomal RNA", at positions 568 to 774 of the family's 1533-position model. The record is from RNAcentral.